UCAACCGGGGAGGGUCAUUGGAAACUGGGGAACUUGAGUGCAGAAGAGGAGAGUGGAAUUCCACGUGUAGCGGUGAAAUGCGUAGAGAUGUGGAGGAACACCAGUGGCGAAGGUGACUUUUUGGUUUGUAACUGACGGUGAGGAGCGANAGCGUGGGGAGCGAACAGGAUUAGAUACCCUGGUAGUUCACGCCGUAAACGAUGAGUGCUAAGUGUUAGGGGGUUUCCGCCCCUUAGUGCUGCAGCUAACGCAUUAAGCACUCCGCCUGGGGAGUACGGUUGCAAGACUGAAACUCAAAGGAAUUGACGGGGGCCCGCACAAGCGGUGGAGCAUGUGGUUUAAUUCGAAGCAACGAGAAGAACCUUACCAGGUCUUGACAUCCUCUGACAAUCCUAGAGAUAGGACGUCCCCUUCGGGGGCAGAGUGACAGGUGGUGCAUGGUCGUCGUCAGUUCGUGUCGUGAGAUGUUGGCUUAAGUCCCGCAAAGAAGCGCAACCUUUGAUCUUAGUUGCCAGCAUUCAGUUGGGCACUCUAAGGUGACUGCCGGUGACAAACCGGAGGAAGGUGGGGAUGACGUCAAAUCAUCAUGCCCCUUAUGACCUGGGCUACACACGUGCUACAAUGGACAGAACAAAGGGCAGCGAAACCGCGAGGUUAAGCCAAUCCCACAAAUCUGUUCUCAGUUCGGAUCGCAGUCUGCAACUCGACUG
RNAcentral lists this ribosomal RNA (710 nucleotides) under Bacillus sp. (in: firmicutes). RNAcentral describes it as "bacterial SSU rRNA". It matches the Rfam family "Bacterial small subunit ribosomal RNA", at positions 609 to 1318 of the family's 1533-position model. Lineage: Bacteria; Bacillati; Bacillota; Bacilli; Caryophanales; Bacillaceae. The record is from RNAcentral.